RNAcentral lists this ribosomal RNA (460 nucleotides) under uncultured bacterium. RNAcentral describes it as "partial 16S ribosomal RNA". It matches the Rfam family "Bacterial small subunit ribosomal RNA", at positions 338 to 795 of the family's 1533-position model. The record is from RNAcentral.
CCUACGGGAGACAGCAGUGAGGAAUAUUGGUCAAUGGACGAGAGUCUGAACCAGCCAAGUAGCGUGAAGGAUGACUGCCCUAUGGGUUGUAAACUUCUUUUAUAAAGGAAUAAAACGAGGCACGUGUGCCUUUUUGCAUGUACUUUAUGAAUAAGGAUCGGCUAACUCCGUGCCAGCAGCCGCGGUAAUACGGAGGAUCCGAGCGUUAUCCGGAUUUAUUGGGUUUAAAGGGAGCGUAGAUGGGUUGUUAAGUCAGUUGUGAAAGUUUGCGGCUCAACCGUAAAAUUGCAAUUGAUACUGGAAGUCUUGAGUACAGUUGAGGUAGGCGGAAUUCGUGGUGUAGCGGUGAAAUGCUUAGAUAUCACGAAGAACUCCGAUUGCGAAGGCAGCUUACUAAACUGCCACUGACAUUGAUGCUCGAAAGUGUGGGUAUCAAACAGGAUUAGAUACCCCGGUAGUC